AGCCAAGCCGAGCGGUAGAGUUCCUUCGGGAACUUGAGAGCGGCGUACGGGUGCGUAACACGUGUGCAACCUACCUUUAUCUGGGGGAUAGCCUUUCGAAAGGAAGAUUAAUACCCCAUAAUAUAUUGAGUGGCAUCACUUAAUAUUGAAAACUCCGGUGGAUAGAGAUGGGCACGCGCAAGAUUAGAUAGUUGGUGAGGUAACGGCUCACCAAGUCAAUGAUCUUUAGGGGUCCUGAGAGGGAGAUCCCCCACACUGGUACUGAGACACGGACCAGACUCCUACGGGAGGCAGCAGUGAGGAAUAUUGGACAAUGGGUGAAAGCCUGAUCCAGCCAUCCCGCGUGAAGGAUGACGGUCCUAUGGAUUGUAAACUUCUUUUGUACAGGGAUAAACCUACUCUCGUGAGGGUAGCUGAAGGUACUGUACGAAUAAGCACCGGCUAACUCCGUGCCAGCAGCCGCGGUAAUACGGAGGGUGCAAGCGUUAUCCGGAUUUAUUGGGUUUAAAGGGUCCGUAGGCGGACCCGUAAGUCAGUGGUGAAAUCUCAUAGCUUAACUAUGAAACUGCCAUUGAUACUGCGGGUCUUGAGUAAAUUUGAAGUGGCUGGAAUAAGUAGUGUAGCGGUGAAAUGCAUAGAUAUUACUUAGAACACCAAUUGCGAAGGCAGGUCACUAAGAUUUAACUGACGCUGAUGGACGAAAGCGUGGGUAGCGAACAGGAUUAGAUACCCUGGUAGUCCACGCCGUAAACGAUGCUAACUCGUUUUUGGAUUUUCGGAUUCAGAGACCAAGCGAAAGUGAUAAGUUAGCCACCUGGGGAGUACGUUCGCAAGAAUGAAACUCAAAGGAAUUGACGGGGGCCCGCACAAGCGGUGGAUUAUGUGGUUUAAUUCGAUGAUACGCGAGGAACCUUACCAAGACUUAAAUGGGAAUUGACAGAUUUAGAAAUAGAUCCUCCUUCGGGCAAUUUUCAAGGUGCUGCAUGGUUGUCGUCAGCUCGUGCCGUGAGGUGUAGGUUAGUCCUGCAACGAGCGCAACCCUGUCACUAGUGCUAGCAUUCAGUUGAGGACUCUAGUGAAGACUGCCUACGCAAGUAGAGAGAAGUGGGGGGAUGACGUCGAAUCAUCCACGGCCCUUUAGUCGUGGUCCACCCCUCGUAUAGAUGGGCGGUAACAAAGGGGAGUUGCACGCGCAAGUGUAUGCGAUUCAAAGAGCGCGGGUCAAUCUCGAAUUGGACAUCGCGCCACUCGAUCUCAUAGUAGUAGCUGCGAGAGUCUGCACAUCAUA
RNAcentral lists this ribosomal RNA (1288 nucleotides) under bacterium. RNAcentral's name for it is "bacterial SSU rRNA". It matches the Rfam family "Bacterial small subunit ribosomal RNA", at positions 55 to 1353 of the family's 1533-position model. The record is from RNAcentral.